UCAAAAAAUUCAUUAUUUUUUGAAAAUAUUUUUUUCCAAUUUCCCUUUGUGUACCUACUCCAUGUUGCUUCCACUAGACUGGUAUCAUGUAUGCCCUUCAUCCAUUUUAUAUCAAGUGGUUGAUGUAGUGUCGGUGGGUAGCCUUUUAUUUAUAAAAAACUUGUUUUAAAAUCUAGUCUGAUAAUAUGAAAAUAAAAAAAAUAAAUAACAA
RNAcentral lists this unclassified non-coding RNA (211 nucleotides) under uncultured Pezizales. Its description in RNAcentral is "sequence contains ITS1". The record is from RNAcentral. Lineage: Eukaryota; Fungi; Ascomycota; Pezizomycetes; Pezizales.